GAGGUAGCGCAAUGGAUAGCGGGUUGGACUUGUAAUACAAAGGUUGUGGGUUCGAAUCCCACUCGAAAUG
Molecule: transfer RNA, 70 nt
Filed under: Trichonephila inaurata madagascariensis
Lineage: Eukaryota; Metazoa; Arthropoda; Arachnida; Araneae; Nephilidae
Description: tRNA-Thr
Rfam family: tRNA (bases 3-64)
About the family: Transfer RNA (tRNA) molecules are approximately 80 nucleotides in length. Their secondary structure includes four short double-helical elements and three loops (D, anti-codon, and T loops).
Source: RNAcentral